GCUACACAUGCAGUCGAGCGGAACGAGAAGUAGCUUGCUACUUCGGCGUCGAGCGGCGGACGGGUGAGUAAUGCAUAGGAAGUUGCCCAGUAGAGGGGGAUAACCAUUGGAAACGAUGGCUAAUACCGCAUAACCUCUUCGGAGCAAAGCGGGGGACCUUCGGGCCUCGCGCUACUGGAUACGCCUAUGUGGGAUUAGCUAGUUGGUGAGGUAAUGGCUCACCAAGGCGACGAUCCCUAGCUGGUCUGAGAGGAUGAUCAGCCACACUGGGACUGAGACACGGCCCAGACUCCUACGGGAGGCAGCAGUGGGGAAUAUUGCACAAUGGGCGAAAGCCUGAUGCAGCCAUGCCGCGUGUAUGAAGAAGGCCUUCGGGUUGUAAAGUACUUUCAGUUGUGAGGAAGGAUGUGUAGUUAAUAACUGCGCAUUUUGACGUUAGCAACAGAGAGCACCGGCUAACUCCGUGCCAGCAGCCGCGGUAAUACGGAGGGUGCGAGCGUUAAUCGGAAUUACUGGCGU
RNAcentral lists this ribosomal RNA (519 nucleotides) under bacterium fme09x22p158. RNAcentral's name for it is "bacterial SSU rRNA". It matches the Rfam family "Bacterial small subunit ribosomal RNA", at positions 48 to 561 of the family's 1533-position model. The record is from RNAcentral.